UACGAAAGGGGCUAGCGUUGCUCGGAAUCACUGGGCGUAAAGCGCACGUAGGCGGAUUGCUAAGUCAGGGGUGAAAUCCUGGAGCUCAACUCCAGAACUGCCUUUGAUACUGGCGACCUUGAGUCCGGGAGAGGUGAGUGGAACUGCGAGUGUAGAGGUGAAAUUCGUAGAUAUUCGCAAGAACACCAGUGGCGAAGGCGGCUCACUGGCCCGGUACUGACGCUGAGGUGCGAAAGCGUGGGGAGCAAACAGG
This 253-nucleotide ribosomal RNA is filed under the name uncultured bacterium. RNAcentral describes it as "partial 16S ribosomal RNA". It matches the Rfam family "Bacterial small subunit ribosomal RNA", at positions 524 to 776 of the family's 1533-position model. The record is from RNAcentral.